UGCUGGAGGUAUCAGAAGUGCGAAUGCUGACAUAAGUAACGAUAAAGCGGGUGAAAAGCCCGCUCGCCGGAAGACCAAGGGUUCCUGUCCAACGUUAAUCGGGGCAGGGUGAGUCGACCCCUAAGGCGAGGCCGAAAGGCGUAGUCGAUGGGAAACAGGUUAAUAUUCCUGUACUUGGUGUUACUGCGAAGGGGGGACGGAGAAGGCUAUGUUGGCCGGGCGACGGUUGUCCCGGUUUAAGCGUGUAGGCUGGUUUUCCAGGCAAAUCCGGAAAAUCAAGGCUGAGGCGUGAUGACGAGGCACUACGGUGCUGAAGCAACAAAUGCCCUGCUUCCAGGAAAAGCCUCUAAGCAUCAGGUAACAUCAAAUCGUACCCCAAACCGACACAGGUGGUCAGGUAGAGAAUACCAAGGCGCUUGAGAGAACUCGGGUGAAGGAACUAGGCAAAAUGGUGCCGUAACUUCGGGAGAAGGCACGCUGAUAUGUAGGUGAAGUCCCUCGCGGAUGGAGCUGAAAUCAGUCGAAGAUACCAGCUGGCUGCAACUGUUUAUUAAAAACACAGCACUGUGCAAACACGAAAGUGGACGUAUACGGUGUGACGCCUGCCCGGUGCCGGAAGGUUAAUUGAUGGGGUUAGCCGCAAGGCGAAGCUCUUGAUCGAAGCCCCGGUAAACGGCGGCCGUAACUAUAACGGUCCUAAGGUAGCGAAAUUCCUUGUCGGGUAAGUUCCGACCUGCACGAAUGGCGUAAUGAUGGCCAGGCUGUCUCCACCCGAGACUCAGUGAAAUUGAACUCGCUGUGAAGAUGCAGUGUACCCGCGGCAAGACGGAAAGACCCCGUGAACCUUUACUAUAGCUUGACACUGAACAUUGAGCCUUGAUGUGUAGGAUAGGUGGGAGGCUUUGAAGUGUGGACGCCAGUCUGCAUGGAGCCGACCUUGAAAUACCACCCUUUAAUGUUUGAUGUUCUAACGUGGACCCGUGAUCCGGGUUGCGGACAGUGUCUGGUGGGUAGUUUGACUGGGGCGGUCUCCUCCUAAAGAGUAACGGAGGAGCACGAAGGUUGGCUAAUCCUGGUCGGACAUCAGGAGGUUAGUGCAAUGGCAUAAGCCAGCUUGACUGCGAGCGUGACGGCGCGAGCAGGUGCGAAAGCAGGUCAUAGUGAUCCGGUGGUUCUGAAUGGAAGGGCCAUCGCUCAACGGAUAAAAGGUACUCCGGGGAUAACAGGCUGAUACCGCCCAAGAGUUCAUAUCGACGGCGGUGUUUGGCAC
RNAcentral lists this ribosomal RNA (1270 nucleotides) under human gut metagenome. Its description in RNAcentral is "bacterial LSU rRNA". It matches the Rfam family "Bacterial large subunit ribosomal RNA", at positions 1271 to 2524 of the family's 2925-position model. The record is from RNAcentral.